CUCAGUCCGCGCCUGCGCACUCGGUCCUCGGCGUUUGUGCCUGUGCGCCCGGCAGUUCCUAAAAGAGCGGUUGUGAGGUCUCUAAGUUUCUUUCUGGGUUCUGGUCUUUUGUGGGGUUUUUGCAGAAAUAAGUGCGUGAGAACGUCCGUUAUUAAACUAUUGCUGCUUCAAGUGAGCGCCAUCACCCAAGUUCUGCCCUGGACCCCGCACCUAGGAGCUGAAAUUGCCCCAGGCUGCGGGGACAGCCCUUUUGUAGAAGGUUUGGGUCCUGGAAGCAUUCCUCAAAGGGGGAUGCCAACGUAAUAAUUCCAACUAUGUUCUCAACCAUUCCUGCAAAGUAGAAUCAGCUGGGGAGUUUUACACUUGCUCUGAUGCCUGGGUUUCACCUGCAAGAGUAGGAAGUGUCAGAAGACAAAAUUACAAGUUUAGUUUAAAGGUCUAAGUGGCGGCGGCGCGCGGUGUCUCACGCCUGUAUUCCCAGCAUUUUGGGAGGCCGAGGCGGGAGGAUCAUUUGAAGUCACGAAUUCUAGACCAGCCUGACCAACAUGGCAAAACCGUGUCUCUACUAAAAGUACAAAAAAAUUAGCUGGGCAUGGUGGCGCGUGCCUGUAGUCCCAGCUACUUGGGAGGCUGAGGCAGGAGAAUCGCUUGAACCCAGGAGGCAGAGGUUACAGUGAGCUGAGAUCAUGCCACUGCACUCCAGGCUGGGCAACAGAACGAAACUCUUGUCUUUAAAAAAAAAAAAGAAAAUCUAACUGGCUUAUAUUUGGGAUCUAGAAUGGGGAAACAUCAUUCUAUAAAGCAAAUAGAGUGUGUUCCAAUGAGCUGCGCAGAGGAGGUUGGCUUAAUGGGCAAAAAAAGGCUGAAGAACACAACAAACAACUAAGGUCUGGUGGUUUUCUGUUUGGUCUUCCUGCUGAAGCAAGGUCUGCACCUAUGUCAGUCCCUGUCUGUGUCUGGAUGGUUCACUGUUCAAAUCUUCAGGCUCACAUAAAAGGAGAAAGGAGAGAACAGAUACAUUUUAGAUGCCUUCAAAGCCGUGGGAUAGGGGUGAACAUGGAAAGCACCGAGAAGUCCUAAGAAGCCAGUGCUUGGAAAUUAGAAAGAGGAAGAGAAACUCACAGAUGACACUGAGGCUGAGAAGGAGCAGCCCAUCAAGUGCUAUAGGAGACUCUGAGUGUGAAAAACCCAAAGGUUAAGUUUUUUUUUUCUAUUCUCUUAUCAAAAAUAAUCAACACAGAAGAAUUCUGUGACCCAGUAUGUGAGGAUUUCUUCCUACCAACAAGCAUGGAAUCAACUCUGCAGCAGUUAUCAGCGGGUCAUGUUCCAACCCAACUCCAUUCUGACCAUGUCUAUCUGGAGGUAGCAUCAGAUCCCACAGGUUGAGGGCUCCGUCCACAAGCCUGCCCCUUGUUUUCGAUGUCUAUCAAAAGCCCAGGUUGGGGUGGGGCCGAGUCACCCAUCUAAUCCUGCUGUGGUCUUUCAGGUGAUCAGCCCCCUUCCUGAAGCUACGUAGGGGCCGACAGCCAUUGGUCAACUCAUGAGCAUCCAAAAAGAUAUCACUUUGGAGACUCCAGGGAUUUUAGGAUUUAUAUACCAGGAAGUGGGACAAAGACCAAAUACAUGCUUCACAAUAGCACAGAGACCAAAAGUGCGGGUGUCCUAAAGACCCAGAGAAGAAAGUCUUUGGAGGAGGCAACAGCCAUCAAGACUGGGACACUGACCCCUGGAUUUAGCAACGGACAGGUCUGGGUAUCUGGACAAGAGCAGACUGGGAAGAAUGAAGGCAUAGUCAGGGUGGGUUUAUGGCAUGAUAGAAGGAGAUGCAGUGGAGUGGGCAGCUGUCAGUCAUAACUAACCUCAGGAAUGCAGCCGAGGGAAGCAAAGAAAGAUGCAGCAGUGGGAAGAGGUCACAAGAUUGGGAGGGUUUGUUGUUACUGUACUGUCAUUAUUGCUGUGAGGAAGAGGGCGAUUGCUGUCCAUUUAUUCAGCAGGGAGGGAGAAGCCAAUGGCAGGACAGAUUGAAGGAUGUUGUCCUGGAAACAGAGAGGCAGGCCAACUGGGGAUUUCACAGGGUGAUGUGCAGGACUUCUGAUGCUUCUUUUUUUCUUAGGGAAAUUCAGAAUAAGGACAAGAUCUGACAGUGAAGGAUGGAAGGGUCUCUCUGUGUGUCCCGCAGGACCUACCCUACUCCUCCAGCCCCGGGAAGCCAAACCUUGCCACGACCCCUCCUCCUUCAGGACUGUUUCUUUGCUUCUCCCUUUCCUGAAAGUCAAGUCUUUAUGGGUUGAGUCUUUACCAGUUGGUAAUUUCCAGAAAGUCCCCUUCUUGCUGAUGCCCUUUGCAAAUUGCUACUGUCUACUUUAUGUGUUAACAGGAUUGAUGCUUGAUGUGUCAAAUCUCUUUCUGUCCUGUGCUGUCAUGACACGUCUUUAAAGGAAGACUUCAUUCAACUCAAUAACCCAAAUCAGAAAGUUUUCAUUGAGUGCCAUGAAUGGGCCCCACACUUCUAGCCCAGAGUCCCAGCUAACCGAAGGUGCCCCCACCCAGCACCAUCAGGUCUUUUGUGCAGCACAGGUAAAUGCCCCUGGGAGCAGCAACUGUCACUGACAUUCUCUCCUGCACUUUACCACUCAACCAACACAUGCUCUUGUCACCUGGGUGUCAGGAACAGUCACAGUAGCCCCCAUUGUGCUUGGGAGGUCAUAGCCUUUGAGGCAAAAAAAAAAAGAGAAGAAAGAAAAAUAAAGUUGGAUGUCUUCUUCCCACUUUGCUCCUGGUUGGUUAUUUUGCAGGUAGAAGGCACACUUUAUAUUUUAAAGAAAAGUAAAGCUUUAACUGCUUCCUAUGUUUAAACCUCUAUGACAAAUUUAGUCAGAGAUUUAAAAAGCACCAUUAAAAAAAUAGGCUAUAGAGAUGCGAUCCCUGUCUGUACCUACUUACCACUGCUGGCUGCCGUCCAGAAAACGGGAAACUGUGUCCAAACUACAUUUUUGGAAAAGGCUAUCCUUGAUGAUAUACAAUAUAUCCUUUUGUUCAUUAUUGAGACCCAAAGGUUAAGGCGUUUGAGAAUGCUUCUUUUAAGUAAUUGAGCAAGAAGGAGGGAGAGAAAGAAAGAGAGGAGAAAAUAUAAGAUAAUCUGAUUGAUUAGGGGCAAAAACUUUCUAGAAGCUCUGCAAAGAAAAAAUAUGAAGAUAAUAAAAUAGCUGUUGGAAAAUA
Molecule: non-coding RNA, 3219 nt
Organism: Callithrix jacchus (white-tufted-ear marmoset)
Lineage: Eukaryota; Metazoa; Chordata; Mammalia; Primates; Cebidae
Source: RefSeq, a predicted model, not a curated record